Molecule: long non-coding RNA, 1314 nt
Filed under: Gossypium barbadense (sea-island cotton)
Lineage: Eukaryota; Viridiplantae; Streptophyta; Magnoliopsida; Malvales; Malvaceae
Description: long non-coding RNA (GBAR_LNC000264)
Source: RNAcentral
CAGUAACAAUGAUAAUAAUAAUAUUGAUAAUAAAUAAUAAUAGUAAUAAUAAUACUAAUAAUAAUAAAGUGAAUAGUAAUAAUAAUAGAUUCAUAAUAAAAGUAAGACAAUAAUAAAAUAAAUAAUUGAAGUUAAAGGCUGAUGACUAUAUUGAAAUUGCAAUGAAGUCAGGGGGUUUAAAUUGUAAAUAAAGGAAAAUAAGGAUCAAAAUAAAAGACGCUAAAACUAACGGGGACCAAAAGAGAAAAUAGCCUUGGUCUUUUACACGCAGCAUUUUGAGCUGAAUCAGGGGACUUAAUUAAAAGUGAAUUAAAAUUAACGGGACAAAUUUGAAGGAAAUAAAUCAAGGAAUUUUGACUGAAUUGAAAACAGCUCAAAAGCAGAGGAACCACGGGCAUAAAUAGCCCAAAAGUUGGAAACACGCGGAUCCUGAGGAAGCGGGUCAGGUCGCGCCGGGUGAGCUCUAAACGGUUUCGUUUUAGCGCCUGGGCCUCCAGCUAAAAACGGCGUCGUUUUACUUCUACUAUUUAAGUCAAACUUUUUUUUUUAAACACUUCAAUUUCUCUCCUCUCUAAAAAAAAAAACAAGAAAACUCUCUCAAGUUCUCUCUUCCCCUCCGGGCUCAGGCCAGGAAUCCGGUUGCCGACUAGCCGCCAUCCGCCGCCGUGCCGGCCACCAUACACUGUGGCCGGGAAUAAAAAAAGGUAAAUUUUUUUUAUUUAUUUAUAUGUAAAUAUAUACAUAUAUACUGUUUUUAAAAGUUAAAAUAGGGAAAGCAUGUGUAAAUAGAUUCGAAAAAUAAAGAAAGAAAAUACAAAUAAAAAGAAAAAAAUGAAUUGCAGUAUCCUUUGGCCCUUUUUUAAAUCUGUUUUAAACUUCUUUUUUUAUUGUAUUCUCCAAAAAGAACCCCCAUUUUCAAUUGGUUCUUCCCCCCCUUUUUACAUUCGUUUUCUUUUCUUUUUAUAACUGAAAAAGAAAAUAGCAAAUACAAUAUUUUUUGCUUUACUGUUGUCUGUCUUUUCUUGCUUGUUGCUUUGGUUUUGCAGGUGUCAGAGGGGUUGGUGGUGGCAGCAAGCUAGGAGGAGGCGUGUGGGCAUGCUGGUACGACUGCUGAACUUAGGGGGGCUAGGUUUUUUUCUUUUUUUAUUUUGUUUAGGCUAGGGUUAGGUUAGGCUAUUGGGUUUGGAUUUGUUUUGUUUGGGUUAAAAGUUGUAAAAUGGGCCCGGAUAAUUUGGGCUUUCUAGAAAUUGUAUAAAUAAAAUUUUAAUUUUGAUUUAAUUAUAUAUAUUUUAAAAUAAAACUAAUUAUUUUCAU